RNAcentral lists this ribosomal RNA (253 nucleotides) under uncultured bacterium. RNAcentral describes it as "partial 16S ribosomal RNA". It matches the Rfam family "Bacterial small subunit ribosomal RNA", at positions 524 to 776 of the family's 1533-position model. The record is from RNAcentral.
UACGGAGGGUGCAAGCGUUAUCCGGAUUCACUGGGUUUAAAGGGUGCGUAGGUGGCUAUUUAAGUCAGUGGUGAAAGCCCGCGGCUCAACCGUGGAAUUGCCAUUGAAACUGAGUAGCUUGAGUACAGUUGAAGUGGGCGGAAUACAUCAUGUAGCGGUGAAAUGCUUAGAUAUGAUGUAGAACACCGAUUGCGAAGGCAGCUCACUAAGCUGUAACUGACACUGAGGCACGAAAGCGUGGGGAGCAAACAGG